AUUGAACGCUGGCGGCAUGCCUUACACAUGCAAGUCGAACGGCAGCGGGGGAGAAGCUUGCUUUUCCUGCCGGCGAGUGGCGAACGGGUGAGUAAUACAUCGGAACGUGCCCUGUAGUGGGGGAUAACUAGUCGAAAGAUUAGCUAAUACCGCAUACGACCUGAGGGUGAAAGUGGGGGACCGCAAGGCCUCAUGCUAUAGGAGCGGCCGAUGUCUGAUUAGCUAGUUGGUGGGGUAAAGGGCUACCAAGGCGACGAUCAGUAGCGGGUCUGAGAGGACGAUCAGCCACACUGGGACUGAGACACGGCCCAGACUCCUACGGGAGGCAGCAGUGGGGAAUUUUGGACAAUGGGCGAAAGCCUGAUCCAGCAAUGCCGCGUGUGUGAAGAAGGCCUUCGGGUUGUAAAGCACUUUUGUCCGGAAAGAAAUGGCUCUGGUUAAUACCUGGGGUCGAUGACGGUACCGGAAGAAUAAGGACCGGCUAACUACGUGCCAGCCGCCGCUGUAA
This 508-nucleotide ribosomal RNA is filed under the name uncultured bacterium. RNAcentral describes it as "partial 16S ribosomal RNA". It matches the Rfam family "Bacterial small subunit ribosomal RNA", at positions 30 to 523 of the family's 1533-position model. The record is from RNAcentral.